RNAcentral lists this ribosomal RNA (156 nucleotides) under Ophiosimulans sp. RNAcentral's name for it is "5.8S ribosomal RNA". It matches the Rfam family "5.8S ribosomal RNA". From Rfam's summary of the family: 5.8S ribosomal RNA (5.8S rRNA) is a component of the large subunit of the eukaryotic ribosome. The record is from RNAcentral. Lineage: Eukaryota; Fungi; Ascomycota; Dothideomycetes; Pleosporales; Phaeosphaeriaceae.
ACUUUCAACAACGGAUCUCUUGGUUCUGGCAUCGAUGAAGAACGCAGCGAAAUGCGAUAAGUAGUGUGAAUUGCAGAAUUCAGUGAAUCAUCGAAUCUUUGAACGCACAUUGCGCCCCUUGGUAUUCCAUGGGGCAUGCUUGUUCGAGCGUCAUUU